GUUGAUGCCUCAAAGUCAGAAUGACCCGUGCGAACUCUAUCCACACGGGGCGCAAUUGGCACCUAGGAGAACACGAAAAGAAGGACGCUCACGGUGCCCCCUCGCGGAGGUGCCGAUUGGGCAUCCGCUCAAAAUCGUAAUGAAACACGACUCUUGGCAACGGAUAUCUUGGCUCUUGCAUCGAUGAAGAAUGUAGCAAAAUGCGAUACUUGGUGUGAAUUGCAGAAUCUCAUGAACCAUCGAGUCUUUGAACUCAAGUUACGCCCGAGGCCACUAGGUCGAGGGCACAACUGCCUGGGUGUCAUGCCCCCCAACUCUCCACCCCGACCCCCUCACACGACCCCUUGAUCGGAGGGUGCGUGGGGGGUGUACAGUGGUGCAAGCAGACUAGCGGCCCGUCCCUCUCGGGCAUGGUUGGUUGAAAGUCUGGCCCGACGGAGGUGUGCAGCACGACAAGUGGUGGCUCGGCCCUCCCAGGCCACAGUGUCACUAUGUCGUGUUUGCAGAUUCGUCACUCGAGGCCAUAGAGGACCCUAACCGUCUGCCUUUGCUCCAGGAGGUGUCGUUCUGAUUGCGACCCCGGGUCAAGUGGGAUCACCCGUUGAGUUUAA
Molecule: ribosomal RNA, 611 nt
Filed under: Aristolochia kwangsiensis
Lineage: Eukaryota; Viridiplantae; Streptophyta; Magnoliopsida; Piperales; Aristolochiaceae
Description: eukaryotic LSU rRNA
Rfam family: 5.8S ribosomal RNA (bases 149-304)
Source: RNAcentral